Vulpes vulpes (red fox) is the source of this 188-nucleotide unclassified non-coding RNA. The record is from Ensembl. Lineage: Eukaryota; Metazoa; Chordata; Mammalia; Carnivora; Canidae.
CAGACAUCGUCACCCCUUUUCCCCAACACACCUUCUCAAGUGUCAACACUGGAGAUACAAGCCUCCCUGAAGGAAGGUUCACAACCGUAGAAAGUUGAAAAGAGAAGCUUCUUUAAAUGCCAGUUUAUCAAGAUAAAUGAAAGCAUAUGAAAUUGGGCUUAAGAUCUUAUGACAUGUCUCUGAUGGGC